AUUUGUCCUUACAAGCUCAAGGUUUUUCGAGCAUGUGGCGUAGUGGGGCAGUGGUGGAAUCGGUGCAUUUCAAACAGGCUUUAGGCCUCAGUGCAGAUGAUUUGAUCUAACGCGAAGAACCUUACCCAGGCUUGACAUCCUACUAAUUUCUCUGAAAGGAGAGAGUGCCUUCGGGCCGUAGUGACAGGUGUUGCAUGGCCGUCGUCAGCUCGUGUUGUGAAACGUUAGGUUAAGUCCUAUAACGAGCGCAACCCUUUUGUUUAGUUGUAUUUCUCUAAACAGACUGCCCUGGUAACAGGGAGGAAGGAGGGGUCGAAGUCAGGUCAGUAUUACCCUUACGUCUGGGGCUACAAACACGCUACAAUGGCCGGUACAAAGCGCAGCCAACCCGCGAGGGGGAGCAAAUCGCAUCAAAGCCGGUCUCAGUUCGGAUAGCAGGCUGAAACUCGCCUGCAUGAAGCUGGAAUCGCUAGUAAACGUAGGUCAGCACACUACGUUGAAUACGUUCCCGGGUCUUGUACACACCGAAU
This 530-nucleotide ribosomal RNA is filed under the name uncultured bacterium. RNAcentral's name for it is "bacterial SSU rRNA". It matches the Rfam family "Bacterial small subunit ribosomal RNA", at positions 922 to 1376 of the family's 1533-position model. The record is from RNAcentral.